AUUGAACGCUGGCGGCAGGCCUAACACAUGCAAGUCGAACGGUAACAGGAAACAGCUUGCUGUUUCGCUGACGAGUGGCGGACGGGUGAGUAAUGUCUGGGAAACUGCCUGAUGGAGGGGGAUAACUACUGGAAACGGUAGCUAAUACCGCAUAACGUCGCAAGCCCAAAGAGGGGGACCCUCGGGCAUCUUGCCAUCGGAUGUGCCCAGUUGGGAUUAUCUUCUUGGUGGGGUAACGACUCACCAAGGCGCCGAUCCCUAGCUGGUCUGAGGGGCUGACCAUCACCACUGGAACUACGACACGGUCCAGAAUCCGACGGGAGUCAGCAGUGGGGAAUAAUGCACAAUGGGCGCAAGCCUGAUGCAGCCAUGCCGCGUGUAUGAAGAAGGCCUUCGGGUUGUAAAGUACUUCCAGCGGGGAGGAAGGGAGUAAAGUUAAUACCUUUGCUCAUUGACGUUACCCGCAGAAGAAGCACCGGCUAACUCCGUGCCUGCCGCCGCGGUAA
Molecule: ribosomal RNA, 506 nt
Filed under: uncultured bacterium
Lineage: Bacteria
Description: partial 16S ribosomal RNA
Rfam family: Bacterial small subunit ribosomal RNA
Source: RNAcentral